Molecule: non-coding RNA, 71 nt
Organism: Podarcis lilfordi (Lilford's wall lizard)
Lineage: Eukaryota; Metazoa; Chordata; Lepidosauria; Squamata; Lacertidae
Source: the annotation of a GenBank genome assembly
GCAAGUAAGCUCAGUGGUAGAGCGCAUGAUUUGCAUCCAGAAUGACUCAGGUUAAAUCCCUGGCAUCUCCU